GAUGAAGAACGCAGCGAAAUGCGAUAAGUAAUGUGAAUUGCAGAAUUCAGUGAAUCAUCGAAUCUUUGAACGCACCUUGCACCCUUUGGUAUUCCGAAGGGUAUGCUCGUUUGAGUGUCAUUGUACUCUCACACUUCUAAUUCCUUUCGGGAUUGGGAGCGGUGGACUUGGGUGUUGCUGCUUUAGUUGUGGCUCACCUCAAAUAAGUUAGUGCAUCUCUUGGUUGGACAUAGUACGGCGUGAUAAGUGUCUUCGCCGGCGCCUCUGUAAGGAGGGUGGCCGAUCGGGAGCUCUGUGCUUCAAACCGUCUUCGGACAAUCUUUGACAACUUGACCUCAAAUCGAGUAGGACUACCCGCUGAACUUAAGCAUAUCAAUAAGCGGAGGA
Molecule: unclassified non-coding RNA, 387 nt
Filed under: soil metagenome
Description: partial contains 5.8S ribosomal RNA, internal transcribed spacer 2, and large subunit ribosomal RNA
Rfam family: 5.8S ribosomal RNA (bases 1-120)
Source: RNAcentral